This 322-nucleotide ribosomal RNA is filed under the name uncultured Pseudomonas sp. RNAcentral describes it as "bacterial SSU rRNA". It matches the Rfam family "Bacterial small subunit ribosomal RNA", at positions 1059 to 1382 of the family's 1533-position model. Lineage: Bacteria; Pseudomonadati; Pseudomonadota; Gammaproteobacteria; Pseudomonadales; Pseudomonadaceae. The record is from RNAcentral.
CUCGUGUCGUGAGAUGUUGGGUUAAGUCCGUACGAGCGCAACCCUGUCCUUAGUUACCAGCACGUUAUGGUGGGCACUCUAAGGAGACUGCCGGUGACAAACCGGACGGAAGGUGGGGAUGACGUCAAGUCAUCAUGGCCCUUACGGCCUGGGCUACACACGUGCUACAAUGGUCGGUACAAAGGGUUGCCAAGCCGCGAGGUGGAGCUAAUCCCAUAAAACCGAUCGUAGUCCGGAUCGCAGUCUGCAACUCGACUGCGUGAAGUCGGAAUCGCUAGUAAUCGUGAAUCAGAAUGUCACGGUGAAUACGUUCCCGGGCCUU